Molecule: RNA transcript, 4180 nt
Organism: Ricinus communis (castor bean)
Lineage: Eukaryota; Viridiplantae; Streptophyta; Magnoliopsida; Malpighiales; Euphorbiaceae
Gene name: protein transport protein SEC31 homolog B
Exons: 23
Source: RefSeq, a predicted model, not a curated record
CUGCCAUAUCUCUCUCUCUCUCCCUCCCACAAAUAAAUGAAAACAGAAGUACGUCGCGAGCGAGAGAGAAAGAAAGCAAGCACAAAAGUGUAAAAACUCACUUUCUUCAGUUUCAAAAUCAGAAUCCCUAGGGAAACACACAACCAAAAUUUGCAGAUCAAAACCCUAAUUUCAUCAAUCAAAUUUCCAAUUCUGGAUCUUCACAUUCUCAGAUCCGUUUUCUCUCUCUGUAAUUUAUGCAUUAGGUUUUUAUAGGGAGUUAUAUUAUUAUUAUUGUUAUUGUUAUUUUUUUUAUCUUUUAUUAAGUAUGGCGUGUAUAAAAUCGGUGAACCGAUCGGCGUCCGUGGCACUGGCGCCGGACGCGCCGUACAUGGCGGCAGGAACAAUGGCAGGAGCAGUGGAUCUGUCGUUUAGCUCAUCGGCGACACUUGAGAUCUUUAAGCUUGAUUUUCAAUCGGAAGAUCAUGAUCUUCCAUUUAUAGGCGAAUUUCAAAGUUCUGAGAGAUUUAAUCGUCUUGCUUGGGGUAAAAAUGGAUCUGGGUCGGACCAGUAUUCUCUUGGUCUUAUUGCUGGUGGGCUUGUUGAUGGUAGCAUUGAUAUUUGGAAUCCACUUUCUCUGAUCCGUCCUGAGGCUACUGAAAAUGCUCUUGUUGGACAUCUUUCAAAGCAUAGAGGGCCUGUUCGUGGUCUUGAAUUUAACACCUUCACUCCUAAUUUACUUGCAUCCGGUGCUGAUGAUGGUGAAAUUUGCAUCUGGGAUUUGGCUGCUCCUACAGCACCUUCUCAUUUCCCACCUCUAAGGGCUAGUGGUUCUGCUGCUCAAGGAGAAAUUUCUUACAUCUCUUGGAAUAGCAAAGUUCAACAUAUUUUGGCAUCCACUUCCUUUAAUGGAAUAACUGUUGUGUGGGACCUAAAAAAGCAGAAGCCAGUUAUCUCUGUUGAGGAUUCAGUUAGAAGGCGGUGUUCUGUUUUACAGUGGCACCCUGAUGUUGCCACUCAACUUGUUGUUGCAUCUGAUGAUGAUAGUUCUCCUGCCCUGCGGCUGUGGGAUAUGAGGAACACACUGACACCUGUGAAAGAGUUUGUGGGGCAUACUAAGGGUGUAAUUGCAAUGUCAUGGUGUCCAAAUGACAGUUCCUAUUUGCUUACCUGUGCUAAAGAUAAUCGAACUAUUUGCUGGAACACUAUAACCGGAGAGAUUGUCCGUGAAUUACCUGCUGGCUCCAAUUGGAACUUUGAUGUGCACUGGUAUUCAAAGAUACCAGGAGUUAUAACAGCAUCUUCUUUUGAUGGAAAGAUCGGGAUUUACAACAUUGAGGGGUGCAGUCAAUAUGUUGCUGGGGAGAGUGAUCUUGGAGCAGCUACACUAAGAGCUCCAAAAUGGUAUAAGCGUCCAGCUGGUGUGUCUUUUGGCUUUGGGGGAAAGCUUGUAUCAUUUCACCCCAAGUCUUCUACAGCUAGUGCUUCAGAGGUUCUUUUGCAUAACCUGGUUACAGAGCAUGGUUUGGUCAGUCGGUCAUCUGAAUUUGAAUCUGCCAUACAAAAUGGGGAGAAGUCAUCACUGAAAGCAUUAUGUGAGAGAAAAUCUCAAGAGUCCGAGUCAGAGGAUGACCGUGAAACUUGGGGCUUCUUAAUGGUCAUGUUUGAAGAAGAUGGGACAGCAAGGACAAAGAUGCUUUCCCACCUUGGUUUCAGUGUACCUGUUGAAGAGAAAGAUGCCCUGCAAGAUGAUAUCUCCGAACAAAUAGAUGCUGUUCGGCUUGAUGAUACAGCAACAGAUAAAGUGGGAUAUGAGAGCGUUAGAGAGGCCACUGUUUUCUCUGCAGAUGAUGGGGAAGAUUUUUUUAACAAUCUCCCAAGCCCCAAAGCUGACACUCCACAUAAAUCGAGUGAUAACUUUGGCACUGGAAAUUCUGUCCCUCAGGCAGAAGAACCAAAACUGGAACCAGAUGGAGUGGAAGAGAGUUCUGAUCCAUCAUUUGAUGAUAGUAUUCAGCGUGCUUUGGUUGUGGGUGACUACAAAGGUGCUGUUGCACAGUGCAUAUCUGCAAAUAAAAUGGCUGAUGCUUUAGUUAUUGCUCAUGUUGGUGGUACUUCUUUGUGGGAGAGUACACGUGAUCAGUACCUUAAGAUGAGUCGUUCACCUUACUUGAAGAUUGUUUCUGCAAUGGUGAACAAUGAUCUGAUGAGCCUUGUAAACACGAGGCCUCUCAAAUACUGGAAAGAAACACUUGCUCUUCUCUGUACGUUUGCACAGAAUGAGGAAUGGAGUCUGCUAUGUAAUUCACUCGCAUCAAAACUAAUGGCUGUCGGAAAUACUUUAGCUGCUACUCUGUGUUUUAUCUGUGCUGGAAAUAUAGACAAAACUGUUGAAAUUUGGUCAAGGAAUCUGACAUCUGAGCAUGAAGGGAAGUCAUAUGUUGAACUUCUUCAGGAUUUGAUGGAGAAGACUAUUGUCCUUGCUCUGGCAAGUGGUCAGAAGCGAUUUAGUGCAUCUUUAUGCAAGCUUGUUGAGAAAUAUGCUGAAAUUUUAGCCAGCCAGGGCUUGUUAACGACAGCAAUGGAAUACUUGAAACUCUUGGGAUCUGAUGAACUGUCUCCUGAACUUAUAAUUUUAAGAGAUCGUAUUGCCCUCUCUACAGAACCCGAGAAAGAUGCCAAGACUACGACUUUUGGCAUCUCCCAACAGCCAAGUGGGUCAAUGUAUGGUGCUGAGCAAUCCAGCUAUGGUCUAGCUGAUUCGUCUCAGAACUAUUAUCAGGAAACACCAACAUCACAAGUGCAUCAAAGCAUUCCUGGAAGCCCAUACAGUGAAAAUUAUCAACAGUCUCUGGGCCCUUCAUAUGGAAGAACAUAUGGUGCUCCUGCACCAUAUCAGCCUGCUCCGCAGCCUGCACCGUAUCAGCCUGCGGCACAGCCUGCACCAUAUCAGCCUGCACCACAGCCUGCACCGUAUCAGCCUACACCAUAUCAGCCGGCCUCACAGCCUGGAAUGUUCAUUCCAUCUCAAGCACCUCAGGUUCCUCAGGCAAGUUUUGCUCCACCUAAUGCUGCCACUCAGCAAGCUGUGAGGACUUUUGUUCCUUCAGAUGUCCCUAUUUUGAGAAAUGCAGAGCAGUACCAGCAACCCACAUUGGGUUCUCAGUUAUAUCCUGGGGCUGCUAACCCUACCUAUCAGCCUGUACAACCUCCAGCUGGUUCACAAGGCCCCAUUACAUCUCAAGUGGGUCCAAUUCCUGGCCAUAAACCACAGGUUGUGGCCCCCGCUUCUACACCAAUGGGAUUUAGGCCUCUAACAAAUUCUGGGGUUAGACCUGCAAUAGGUUCAAUGCAACCUCCCAGUCCUACUCAGUCAGCAAUAGUACAGCCAGCUGUGGCACCUGCUGCACCGCCAACAACAGUGCAGACGGUUGAUACUUCAAAUGUACCUGCUCAUCAUAGGCCUGUCAUUACGACAUUGACGCGACUUUUUAACGAGACAUCAGAAGCCUUGGGAGGUUCACGUGCAAAUCCAGCCAGGAAGCGUGAAAUAGAAGAUAAUUCAAGGAAAAUUGGUGCCUUGUUUGCCAAGCUCAAUAGUGGGGAUAUAUCAAAAAAUGCUUCCGAUAAGCUUGUUCAGCUUUGCCAGGCAUUAGAUAAAAAUGAUUUUAGCACAGCCCUCCAAAUCCAGGUACUUCUCACAACAAGUGAAUGGGAUGAAUGUAAUUUCUGGCUAGCAACACUAAAAAGAAUGAUCAAGACAAGGCAGGGUGCAGGUGUGAGAUCAAGUUAAAGCAGAAAAAGCAUCCAAUUUCUGUGUUCUCCACUUGGUAUUUAUGAUUUAACUGGUGGUAAUGCUCCAUGGAUGCUGGUUGUUAGUUUCUUCGGUGUACACAAGAACAUCUUUUUUACACUGCGACUACAGGUUCAGGAGCUCCCUCAACCCUCUUCUUCUUCUCUACUGCCAAAUGGCCAAGGAUUCUUUGUCCUCCCCUGAAGCAUCUGGUAAAGACCCAUCAUCAUCAAAGUGGAAUAUUGCAUCUCGUACGUACAGCCUAUAGCUUUACCAUAUUUUACUGUCGCGUUUAACUGUUCAUAUGAAAUUGUAGUUUGGCAUAUUGCUGUAAAUGAGGCGCACACAGAGAUGUAUGGUUUUAGUCAUUCUUCCAUAAUCAAAUGAAGUAUUUUAAGUACUUGAAAA